RNAcentral lists this ribosomal RNA (423 nucleotides) under uncultured prokaryote. RNAcentral describes it as "bacterial SSU rRNA". It matches the Rfam family "Bacterial small subunit ribosomal RNA", at positions 355 to 774 of the family's 1533-position model. The record is from RNAcentral.
UAAGGAAUAUUGGUCAAUGGACGCAAGUCUGAACCAGCCAUGCCGCGUGAAGGAAGACGGCCCUACGGGUUGUAAACUUCUUUUGUACGGGAAAAAAUCUCCGGUCGUGAAUCGGAGCUGAUGGUACCGUAAGAAUAAGCAUCGGCUAACUCCGUGCCAGCAGCCGCGGUAAUACGGAGGAUGCAAGCGUUAUCCGGACUCAUUGGGUUUAAAGGGUGCGCAGGCGGAAUGAUAAGUCAGUGGUGAAAUCCUACGGCUCAACUGUAGAACUGCCAUUGAUACUGUCGUUCUUGAGUAGACUGGGAGUGGGCGGAAUGGGUCAUGUAGCGGUGAAAUGCUUAGAUAUGACACAGAACACCGAUCGCGAAGGCAGCUCACUAAAUGGUAACUGACGCUCAGGCACGAAAGCGUGGGGAUCAAACA